Molecule: ribosomal RNA, 468 nt
Filed under: uncultured bacterium
Lineage: Bacteria
Description: partial 16S ribosomal RNA
Rfam family: Bacterial small subunit ribosomal RNA
Source: RNAcentral
GACGAACGCUGGCGGCGUGCUUAACACAUGCAAGUCGAACGGAAAGGCCCUGCUUUUGUGGGUUGCUCGAGUGGCGAACGGGUGAGUAACACGUGAGUAACCUGCCCUUGACUUUGGGAUAACUUCAGGAAACUGGGGCUAAUACCGGAUAGGAGCUCCUGCUGCAUGGGGGGGGUUGGAAAGUUUCGGCGGUUGGGGAUGGACUCGCGGCUUAUCAGCUUGUUGGUGGGGUAGUGGCUUACCAAGGCUUUGACGGGUAGCCGGCCUGGGAGGGUGACCGGCCACAUUGGGCCUGAGAUACGGCCCAGACUCCUACGGGAGGCAGCAGUGGGGAAUAUUGCACAAUGGGCGGAAGCCUGAUGCAGCAACGCCGCGUGCGGGAUGACGGCCUUCGGGUUGUAAACCGCUUUCGCCUGUGACGAAGCGUGAGUGACGGUAAUGGGUAAAGAAGCACCGGCUAACUACGUG